AAGGUAGCAUAAUAAAUUGACUUUUAAUUGAAGUCUAGAAUGAAAGGAUUAAUGAAUAUAGUCUGUCUUAAUUAAAUUUAUUUAAAUUUCUUAUUAAGUGAAAAUUCUUUUUUAUUUUAAUAGACGAGAAGACCCUAGGAGUUUUUUUGUUGGGGCAACAUUAUAACAAAUAACUUAUAUAAUUUACAAGAUGUAACAAAAUUUUUAAUUAAAAAUAAACUACCCUAGGGAUAACAGCAUAAAGUUUGUGACCUCGAUGUUGGAUUAGGAAUUUUAGUAUUAACUAUAUUAAUAGAUUUGUUCUGUUCGAACAUUUAUACCU
Molecule: ribosomal RNA, 322 nt
Filed under: Phuphania globosa
Lineage: Eukaryota; Metazoa; Mollusca; Gastropoda; Stylommatophora; Dyakiidae
Description: partial large subunit ribosomal RNA
Source: RNAcentral